GACGAACGCUGGCGGCGUGCUUAACACAUGCAAGUCGAACGAAGUGUCGAACGGGUGAGUAAUACGUGGGUAACCUGCCCUCCUUUUUGGGAUAAGCCUUUGAAACGGGGUCUAAUACCCGAUACAGGGUGUUGGGCUCGGGGCUUAUCAGCUUGUUGGUGGGGUGAGUGCCUACCAAGGCGGUGACGGGUAGCCGGCCUGAGAGGGUGACAUGACACAUUGGGACUGAGAUACUGCCCAGAGUCGUACGGGAGGGAGCAGUGGGGGAGAUUGGAGAAUGGGCGAAAGCGUGAUGCAGCGAGGCUGCAGGGGGGAUGCAGGCUUUAGGGUUGUAAACCUCUUGCGCUAGCGAACGGGUAGGUGGAGAAGAAGCGCCGGCUAACUACGUGCCAGCAGCCGCGGUAAUAC
Molecule: ribosomal RNA, 408 nt
Filed under: uncultured bacterium
Lineage: Bacteria
Description: partial 16S ribosomal RNA
Rfam family: Bacterial small subunit ribosomal RNA
Source: RNAcentral